CUUCUUGAGUUUAUUGGAAGUCGGGCCUGUCCACUGAUAUUUAUUUGAAGGGCCGCGGUAUUUUGACCGUGCAAAGGUAGCAUAAUCAUUAGUCUUUUAAUUGGGGGCUGGAAUGAAUGGUUUGACGAAAUAAUAUCUGUCUCUAAUAUAAUAAUGUUGAAUUUUACUUUUGAGUUAAAAGGCUUAAAUAUUAAUGAGGGACGAGAAGACCCUAUAGAUCUUUAUAAUGUAUUUUAUAAUAUUAAUUUUGGAUGUAUAAUUUAAUAUAUAAUUUAUUUUAUUUUAUUGGGGUGAUAUAAGAAUAUAUUAACUUCUUGUUUUUUUUACUUUAAUAGAAGAAUUAUAUGAUCCUUUAGUAUGGAAUUAAGAUUAAGAUACCUUAGGGAUAACAGCGUAAUCUUGUUGGAGAGUUCUUAUUGAUAAUGAGGAUUGCGACCUCGAUGUUGGAUUAAGAAAAUAUAUUGAUGGAGAUGUUGAUAUUAUUGGUCUGUUC
Molecule: ribosomal RNA, 493 nt
Filed under: Agnotecous albifrons
Lineage: Eukaryota; Metazoa; Arthropoda; Insecta; Orthoptera; Gryllidae
Description: partial 16S ribosomal RNA
Rfam family: Bacterial large subunit ribosomal RNA
Source: RNAcentral